UUUUUCUGGUAAGGGAUGGGCUCGCGGCCUAUCAGCUUGUUGGUGGGGUGAUGGCCUACCAAGGCUUUGACGGGUAGCCGGCCUGAGAGGGUGGACGGUCACACUGGGACUGAGAUACGGCCCAGACUCCUACGGGAGGCAGCAGUGGGGAAUAUUGCACAAUGGGCGCAAGCCUGAUGCAGCGACGCCGCGUGAGGGAUGAAGGCCUUCGGGUUGUAAACCUCUUUCGUCAGGGAACAAGGCACUACGUUUUGGUGGUGUUGAGGGUACCUGGAUAAGAAGCGCCGGCUAACUACGUGCCAGCAGCCGCGGUAAUACGUAGGGCGCAAGCGUUGUCCGGAAUUAUUGGGCGUAAAGAGCUCGUAGGCGGCUGGUCGCGUCUGUCGUGAAAACUUCCGGCUCAACCGGGGGCUUGCGGUGGGUACGGGCCGGCUAGAGUGCGGUAGGGGUAACUGGAACUCCUGGUGUAGCGGUGGAAUGCGCAGAUAUCAGGAAGAACACCGAUGGCGAAGGCAGGUUACUGGGCCGUUACUGACGCUGAGGAGCGAAAGCGUGGGGAGCGAACAGGAUUAGAUACCCUGGUAGUCCACGCCGUAAACGUUGGGCACUAGGUGUGAGGCUCCUUUCCGGGGGUUUUGCGCCGUAGCUAACGCAUUAAAGUG
RNAcentral lists this ribosomal RNA (662 nucleotides) under Actinomyces graevenitzii. Its description in RNAcentral is "bacterial SSU rRNA". It matches the Rfam family "Bacterial small subunit ribosomal RNA", at positions 210 to 866 of the family's 1533-position model. Lineage: Bacteria; Bacillati; Actinomycetota; Actinomycetes; Actinomycetales; Actinomycetaceae. The record is from RNAcentral.